This 433-nucleotide ribosomal RNA is filed under the name uncultured bacterium. RNAcentral describes it as "partial 16S ribosomal RNA". It matches the Rfam family "Bacterial small subunit ribosomal RNA", at positions 29 to 507 of the family's 1533-position model. The record is from RNAcentral.
AACGAACGCUGGCGGCAUGCCUAACACAUGCAAGUCGAACGAGACCUUCGGGUCUAGUGGCGCACGGGUGCGUAACGCGUGGGAACCUGCCCUUAGGUUCGGAAUAACUCCCCGAAAGGGGUGCUAAUACCGGAUAAUGUCCUCGGACCAAAGAUUUAUCGCCUUUGGAUGGGCCCGCGUUGGUUUAGCUAGUUGGUAGGGUAAAAGCCUACCAAGGCGACGAUCCAUAGCUGGUCUGAGAGGAUGAUCAGCCACACUGGGACUGAGACACGGCCCAGACUCCUACGGGAGGCAGCAGAGGGGAAUAUUGGACAAUGGGGGAAAGCCUGAUCCAGCAAUGCCGGGUGAGUGAUGAAGGCCGUAGGGUUGUAAAGCUCUUUUACCCGGGAUGAUAAUGACAGUACCGGGAGAAUAAGCACCGGCUAACUCCGUG